AUUGGAAAUAUGAUCCAAACUGUUUUGUUGUUGAUAUGUCAUCAGGGGGUGUCACCUAAAAAAUUAUAUUUGCAACUUGCAAGUGCACUAAAAUGUUACAAGUUCAAACGAAAAAUCCUAGAAUUUGCCAGAACCACGGAGCAGAGUUCGACCAGAGUUUCAGAAAUGCAAAUCCCUGCUGGAUCCGGGAAACACCGUCCGCGGUCGCUUUCAGGAAUACGGUAUCCGGAAGGCCCUGGUGCAAUCCGCACUGAAGAGAUGUAACCCAGUGACAAUACGCUGGAGCCAGAGUGAAGACUUCGUCGGCAUCUGGAGUUUUAGAAUCGAUCAGCAAUAUUUCCGGAAAAAAACACCAGGUUGUUCCGGAUCGUGAAAGGAAUUUGCCUUCAGGAGAAUGAAUUUUACUUGGACAAAGUAAUUGCUUUGUGGUUAUUUUGUGAAAAAUUGGAUUUUGAGCAAUUAUGUGAAGAAAGUUUUAAUGUACAAUUGAUUGUUUAUUUGUGACGAGAGCAUGUUAAAUUACAACUUUUUAUCAGGUUAAGGUUAAUGCAUAAUAAAGAUUUUCAACAACA
Molecule: long non-coding RNA, 572 nt
Organism: Culex quinquefasciatus (southern house mosquito)
Lineage: Eukaryota; Metazoa; Arthropoda; Insecta; Diptera; Culicidae
Exons: 2
Source: RefSeq, a predicted model, not a curated record